GAUGAACGCUGGCGGCGUGCCUAAUACAUGCAAGUAGAACGCUGAAGGAGGAGCUUGCUCUUCUGGAUGAGUUGCGAACGGGUGAGUAACGCGUAGGUAACCUGCCUGGUAGCGGGGGAUAACUAUUGGAAACGAUAGCUAAUACCGCAUGACAACAGUUAUUGCAUGAUAACUGUUUAAAAGGGGCAACUGCUCCACUACCAGAUGGACCUGCGUUGUAUUAGCUAGUUGGUGAGGUAACGGCUCACCAAGGCGACGAUACAUAGCCGACCUGAGAGGGGGAUCGGCCACACUGGGACUGUGACACGGCCCAGACUCCUACGGGAGGCAGCAGUAGUGAAUCUUCGGCAAUGGACGGAAGUCUGACCGAGCAACGCCGCGUGAGUGAAGAAGGUUGUCGGAUCGUAAAGCUCUGUUGUAAGAGAAGAACGAGUGUGAGAGUGGAAAGUUCACACUGUGACGGUAUCUUACCAGAAAGGGACGGCUAACUACGUG
RNAcentral lists this ribosomal RNA (495 nucleotides) under uncultured bacterium. Its description in RNAcentral is "partial 16S ribosomal RNA". It matches the Rfam family "Bacterial small subunit ribosomal RNA", at positions 28 to 507 of the family's 1533-position model. The record is from RNAcentral.